GCGCAGUGAUUUGCAGGAGAGCCCCAGGCUCUUCUCAGAUCACUUACCAAUCUCCUGCUGUACCACGACCGGAAUGAGAAGUGUCGGCCGUUUUUUGUUUGACCCAAAAGACGGUCUGUGGCUGAAAAAGAAAACACCUUCAGUGGAUCAAAAUCGAGCUCAGCUUCAGAGGGGUACAGUAUGCAGUAUGUCAAAAAACAUAAAGGAAAGAGAGAAGCGAAAAAAGAAAUCUUGGGUUUGACUGCUUGGGCAUGAGGAAUGAAAAGGAUGGACCCUGGACCUGGCUUCGAGAAAGCCUACAGUAACACCAGUUCUGGGCGCAUUGGAUGAUGGGCAAACCUUCAGGGACCAAACUGAAAUAUUUCUUCUUCCCCAGAUCAGACUUGCUAUGCCAGGACAAGAGGUGGAAAUUAAAAAUCCAAACCAAGAUUUUAACCAACCAGUUAAGUACUCUGUGGCCGAAAGAAAAUCUUGGUCUGAAUUUUUACUUUCUGGACCUGAAAUUUCCACCUCUGGCUGGGACAAUUACCAUCUCUUAUUCCAUGGCAGACGAAAAACUUCAUACACUCUAUGAAAGUCAGUGAUAUCUACAGGUCUACCUCUGUGCCAGUACACCUCAGACAUGUAUUUCCACUAUAAAAUUGAAUAAUAUGUUGCACUUGUGCGCUGAAUAUAUGUUACAUCUGCAGCAUCAUUUCCACUGCAAUUUACCUUACUGCUGUCAAACUGAGUCCUUGUGCUUAUACACACUGCAGUUGUUUCACUGGACUGUUCUGCUCAUUUGAUUAUUCAAUUUGCAGUUUCAUAUGAGUUAUGCUACAUUAUGGCUGAUUCUGGAUUAUUUUACUGGGAUUUUUCAGUAGAAUUAUCUGUUAUAUUGGAUAAUAUGCACCAUGCCUGUAUAAUACUGUUGCCUCUGGACAAUUUUACUCUUUCCGUUGAAAAUCUGAUGGAGAAAAUUAGU
Molecule: long non-coding RNA, 964 nt
Organism: Paramormyrops kingsleyae
Lineage: Eukaryota; Metazoa; Chordata; Actinopteri; Osteoglossiformes; Mormyridae
Source: RefSeq, a predicted model, not a curated record